UAGGGAAUCUUCCGCAAUGGGCGAAAGCCUGACGGAGCAACGCCGCGUGAGUGAUGAAGGUCUUCGGAUCGUAAAACUCUGUUAUUAGGGAAGAACAAAUGUGUAAGUAACUAUGCACGUCUUGACGGUACCUAAUCAGAAAGCCACGGCUAACUACGUGCCAGCAGCCGCGGUAAUACGUAGGUGGCAAGCGUUAUCCGGAAUUAUUGGGCGUAAAGCGCGCGUAGGCGGUUUUUUAAGUCUGAUGUGAAAGCCCACGGCUCAACCGUGGAGGGUCAUUGGAAACUGGAAAACUUGAGUGCAGAAGAGGAAAGUGGAAUUCAAUGUGUAGCGGUGAAAUGCGCAGAGAUAUGGAGGAACACCAGUGGCGAAGGCGACUUUCUGGUCUGUAACUGACGCUGAUGUGCGAAAGCGUGGGGAUCAAACAGG
RNAcentral lists this ribosomal RNA (429 nucleotides) under Actinomycetes bacterium. RNAcentral describes it as "Actinobacteria bacterium partial 16S ribosomal RNA". It matches the Rfam family "Bacterial small subunit ribosomal RNA", at positions 355 to 776 of the family's 1533-position model. The record is from RNAcentral. Lineage: Bacteria; Bacillati; Actinomycetota; Actinomycetes.